AGAGGCGAUUCUCAGUCGAGAUUCCUACGGGAGGCAGCAGUGGGGAAUUUUGGACAAUGGGGGCAACCCUGAUCCAGCCAUUCCGCGUGAGUGAAGAAGGCCUUCGGGUUGUAAAGCUCUUUCGCAAGGGAAGAAAACUUAUGAUCGAAUAAAUCAUGAGGUUGACGGUACCUUGAUAAGAAGCACCGGCUAACUACGUGCCAGCAGCCGCGGUAAUACGUAGGGUGCGAGCGUUAAUCGGAAUUACUGGGCGUAAAGCGUGCGCAGGCGGUUUUGUAAGUCGGAUGUGAAAUCCCCGGGCUCAACCUGGGAACUGCGUUCGAAACUGCAAGGCUAGAGUGUGUCAGAGGGGGGUAGAAUUCCACGUGUAGCAGUGAAAUGUGUAGAGAUGUGGAGGAAUACCAAUGGCGAAGGCAGCCCCCUGGGAUAACACUGACGCUCAUGCACGAAAGCGUGGGGAGCAAACAGGAUUAGAUACCCUGGUAGUCCACGCCCUAAACGAUGUCAACUAGUUGUUGGUAGAGUAAAAUCUAUGAGUAACGUAGCUAACGCGUGAAGUUGACCGCCUGGGGAGUACGGUCGCAAGAUUAAAACUCAAAGGAAUUGACGG
RNAcentral lists this ribosomal RNA (610 nucleotides) under Candidatus Methylopumilus sp. SH3101B57. Its description in RNAcentral is "bacterial SSU rRNA". It matches the Rfam family "Bacterial small subunit ribosomal RNA", at positions 315 to 916 of the family's 1533-position model. The record is from RNAcentral. Lineage: Bacteria; Pseudomonadati; Pseudomonadota; Betaproteobacteria; Nitrosomonadales; Methylophilaceae.